AUUAGUCCGAAUAGGUUAAUUGUUCAGCUUAGCGGCUUUGUCAAGCAGAGUAAAAAAAUCGAAUCCUUAGAUUUCGACGUUAAAUGCUCCCUAAUACCGUAAGUAAAGAAUACAUCUAAGCAAGGUUCAGUUGGCUUUCGUGUUAUUAGAGCACGAAAGCUGCAAAAUUGCAACAUUCCAAUUGAAAUAUCUGGUUGGUAUCCAUUUUUCGAUGCCUAGAAAGAUACCGUCAUCUGCUCAUUCGAUCUGGCAACACUUACUACAGAAUACUACGUAUAGUACUACGAUGAGUACGAUGACAAAUUCUCGGUCUCUCAUUGGUCCGUUCUGUUCUGAAUGCUUCAUUCAUGAAUCAGAAAUGGCGGAUUGGCGGGCACGCACAUGGUUAAGUUUGUAAACAAAGCUAGUGAGCGGUGAAUCCUCCCGGCUUUUAUUACUUCUACGACGUAAAUUUCCUCACGUAUUGAUUUAAAAGUUUGUGUUAAAGUUAGAUUUACGCUUAUCAAAGAUGUUAAAAUUGCCAUAUCUUCAUUCCGGUCUUUUGGAAUCAUCAGAAAAACAGAACGUGUAAUAGUUACUUUUCGAGUGUGAAGUUCAGAUGAUCCCAGAUUUGUUCUCAAUCGGUCAUGGAUUCCAAUUGUUGCCCUCAUAAUCAUUCCUCAGCUAGCUGUGUAUCUACAACCGACUCAACCAUGGAAAUAGACAAUUUACUGUCAACUGAAUCUACCGGCAAGAAUCUCCAAAAUUUACUCAAAAGAAAAAUACUUCAUGCUCCAGUGUGUGAUGAAAUUAAUGAAGAAAACAUCUAUGGAUUGAAUACUAUCCAGAGGCAUCUGAAAGUAUAUCUACAAACGUAGUGCUGAACAUCGUUCUUUCUUCAGACUAGCUUAAGUUUUACCAAAUCCACCAGACAUCCUUACUUCUAUAUAUGGGUAUAAAAUAUUUUUUCUUACAUCCUCAUCUUUUUAUUAUCUAAGUAUUGAAUCUUUCAAGACAUCUAAUCAAACAUUUUCUCCUUCUAUCUAUUUGAAAUUUUUCCUUUAUCAUGUUUUUUUCCUUCCUCUUAUUCUCUUUCAAUGACUAAAAGGGAAAUUCUCUCUAAGCUGCACUAAGUGUAGCCGCUAGACAAGCCAUCUGAAUAUCAGGGUGACAGCAACAUAAUUUCAUUUCCUAAUGCUCAGGAGUGAGCACUAGUUUCAAUUUUACUUAUUUAAUUGAAUUUACGUGAAAGAUCUUUUUUAUGUCGAAAGUUUCCAUAGAAACACUGGAGAGUUGUUCACGGUUAACCUUAUGAACACAACAACAGCAGCAAUUACAAAAACAACUCUGUUUAACCUCAAAAUUGAAAAUAUUCUAAAUUU
Molecule: long non-coding RNA, 1361 nt
Filed under: Bemisia tabaci
Lineage: Eukaryota; Metazoa; Arthropoda; Insecta; Hemiptera; Aleyrodidae
Description: lncRNA ENSASIAIIG004216
Source: RNAcentral